GACCUUCACUAGGCGUUGUACAAGGUUCCAGCGGCACGGUUCCUAUUGUAGUUGGACAAAUUUAUUUUUUGACAUGCUAUCUUCAUUGAUCGCAGUACUCCUCAUUUUAUGGUUGCAUCGCUUCUUUGGACAAUAUUCAGCAUUAAGCUUAGGUUCUUGUAGAAUAGAUAAAUAAACUUUGUGGUAAGUUACUGGUUGAUUAUUGAUAACCUUGAGAAUUAGACUGAUGGUUAGGCAGUUUAGUUGGUAACAAUAGGUUGUUAGUGGAAUAAAUGGUUAAGAAUUCAAAAGGUCAUAACUUUUGGAAUCUGCUGGCCGACGGUCCAUCUUUUGGUAGGACCUAUCUCAGUCUAACCUUUAGUUUAUAACUCAUAUUAUAAUCCAUAGAAAAAUUAGCUAAUAAGUGCAGCAUCAUCCCAUUUAAUAUCAGUUAUAAGUUGUCAAAAUUGUGAAGCAAACAACAUUACUGAUCGAUUGCCUUGUCGUAAAAUAUGGAU
This 497-nucleotide long non-coding RNA is filed under the name Physcomitrium patens. RNAcentral describes it as "long non-coding RNA (PPAT_LNC005869)". Lineage: Eukaryota; Viridiplantae; Streptophyta; Bryopsida; Funariales; Funariaceae. The record is from RNAcentral.